Molecule: long non-coding RNA, 3969 nt
Organism: Phocoena sinus (vaquita)
Lineage: Eukaryota; Metazoa; Chordata; Mammalia; Artiodactyla; Phocoenidae
Source: Ensembl
GGUCCACAGGGUCACAGCAUUGGGGCCUUACCCUCCCUCACAGUCAUUUCCUACCUUCUUGGGCCUCCUCCGGCAUGGUGGGUGUUGGGCAGGCAGGGGGUCGAUAAGAGUGCCUAGUACUAGGACCAGAUAGACGCAGCAGUGGCUCCUCUGAGAGCCUGGGGAAAGCCUGGCUGCUUCCCAACCUGGGCUGAAAAUAGGCGUGAGCUCAGCACACUGGGCUAUAUUUAGAGGGGGCACCUCCCAGCCAUGGGAAGGAGCAGAGUGACCCACAUGGACCAGCCUAGAUGAUCUACCUGGUGAUGGAGCCCAGGCAACAGCACACCUCCAGUAGUGCAGGUACCCUGGGAACCCUGCUACUCAUGUCUGCAGGGCCUUGGUGUCUUCAUCCAGACAAGCCUCCUCAGGCUCACCUCCAGUGAUGUCCCACAUGUCAAACCCAUGCAAGGGAGCCCUGUGCAUCUCCACCCCUCCACCCCUUGAAGACUCCUACCCACAGCGGGUUCAUCUAGCAAAUGUGGGACAAGCACCCACCACUGAUCUGCUGGCAUCACGAAUGAGGAGUGAUGGACAACUGGAGCCCAGUGCCCUGAGGGCUCUGAGAGUCCCCAAAGGGGACAGAGACACCCCCAAUACCUGCAGGUACCCAUGGUGGUCAGUGAAGGAACAUAGGUUGAAGGUUGAUACUUCUAUUACUAAGUUUACAACUUUGGGUAAAGGAAUGCUCCCUCUCAGACCUCAGUUUUCUCAUCUGUAAAGCAGGAAUAACAAUGGUUCCUACCUGGCACAGUGCACAUGAGAAUGAAAAUAUAAGCACGUGUCUGAAGCACUUAGGCCAAUGCAAAGUUUUGAUCCUCCUUCCUCUCUCCAUAAGAGAAUACAGGUCACACAAGUUCAUGUGAGGAUGCAUAGCACCACCUGCCCUUAAAGAGAGGGAGUGGUCCAGCUUAGGACCCACCCUCUGCUGUUGAACCCCUGUGCCCCUCCUUCCCAAAUGGGCCAAAGCAAGACAUUAGGCUCUACUUCUUAAACAUCUGAAAUCCAUCACUCUGCUGUAUCCUUCUUGAUAUUCCUCAAACUCAAGCUUGUUCCCACCUCAGGGCCUUUGCACUGGCUGUUCCCACCUGGAAUGUUCUUCACUAGAUGUUCCCAUGGCUGACUCCUUUUCAUUUAGCUCAAAUGUCACCCCCUUGGUGAGGCCUUCUGCUCACAUUCUUUUCUACAUCACCCAAUUUUAUUUUUUUCAUAGCAUUUAGCCUGGAAAUUAUAUCAUCCAGAAUAUACAGUUGACCCUUGAAUAACUAUAGGGGUUAGGGAUCCCAAACCUCUGUGCAAUGGAAAAUCCACAUACAACUUUACAGUUCACCCACCCUCUGUAACCAUGGUUCCGUAUCUGCAGAUUCAACAAACCAGGGAUCCAGUAGUACUGUAGUACUAUUUAUUGAAAAAAAUCACAUGUAAGUGGAUCCUGUACAGCUCAAGCUGGUGUUCAAGGGUUAAGUGUACUAUGCAUGUCAGUAUCCCCAAAGGCCCUACAGAAUCCACUCAGUCACAUGGAAACCACCUUUAAUCCUCACCAUAGCAUCCUUAAAAUAAAUAGGUUUUGAGACUUCCAGGAGGUGUCCAAGGCCACACAGCAACAACUAGUGAGACAGGGUGGGACCUGGCACCCUUUGGUGCAGUGCUUACACCUGGACAAACAUCUCCUGAGCAAAAGAAUACAAAGAAACCAUAAGGGACUAAAAAUAACUAUGCACCUGCAAAUGGAGCAGAUUAUGAACAAUAUACAAAAAGACCAAAAACCCAAAUGCCACUUCUGAACUGCUGGGAGCAAAAGGAGUGCACUACUCACGAUUCCUGCCCACGACACCACCAAGAGGGUGGGCAGACCACCUAAGCCACCCCUACCGCCUGAACCAUGGAUCUGACCCUACCCUCACCCCAUUUAAAGGACCAACUCACCCCCCAGCCCCGCUUCAGGGAGCAAGCAAGGCAACCUGUUCUUUUUGCUCCCUUGUGCUGCAGCAUGAGUCCCAACAAAGCCUUGCCUGAAUUUCUCGUCUGGCCUCAUCAAUUUCUGUUCACUGAAGAGUCCAAGAAUCUGGGUCGGUAACGUACGUGGUGGCAACUCCACCGGACACCUAUGGGGCCGUUUGCCCCCUCCCUGGGAGAGAAUCCAGGCACCUCUGGAACCAACAAACGCACUUUCCCCGUAGGUGACAAGCUGCCGCCUGAACCUCUUGUUUCAGCAUAACCACGUUUGAGUGGACGUCGGGCAGCUACAGCACCGCUCCUCUCAGCUUGUGAGACCAUGCUCCCUCUGGCCAACAACGACUCACCUUGAUGGAUGACAAACAGAGGUGGGAGAGGCUCACCUCAAGCAGUGCAGGUCUUGGUCCAGCAGGCUCUCCCGGACAGGAGAUUUCUGAGAAUGAUAGAGGUUCAACUCUCAUAUCCUAUAGUUUUUGCAAGUACAAUCAUCACAAUAUCCUCACCUUUAUUUUCCUGCCGCCAAGAGAAAUCCCAUCAGGAAAGGGCCAAGGCAGAUUUCUAUGAAAACCUGUGGGUGCAAAUCCUACCUGUGGGUUAGAGUCCUACGUAUGAUGUAUAAAUUGUACGCGUGCACCGAAGUCCCACCUGUGGAUCACAAUCCCACAGAGACGUACAAAUGGUUGUUUCCCAGGAUUAAUCACCCCAGUGGGCAGUGGACAGGGUGCUCCCUCCUUCACUGGCCCUUUCUGAAAGUGCGCAGACUGAUGCCUAAACAGACACCUGCUGGGGACAGGCUGAAACGGCAAUCUCUCUCUCUCUGUCUUACCUAUCCCUCCUCCCUUUACCACUCCCUUGAUUCUUACACCUACACUCCUGUUCCUUUCAUCCUGGGGACUCCUUCUUUGUGUCACGAACUCUGGGGAGGAAAUUCUUGACCCCCUUGGUUGUUAUGCAAGGCCUCAGCUCCAUCUGGCCCCUGAUCUCCAGUUUUAGCCCCAAAUUUAUAUGUAAACAUGAAAAACACCCAGGGAAUCCUCAAAGACUAUCCUCGGGGUUGCAUUCUUAACAACUGGGUAUGAUUUAAAUGAGGCAGUUUAAAAAAGAAUAAGCUGAUUUUCUCUUUCAACACAGAAUGACCCCAAUAUGCCUUGGGUGACCCGGCAAAGUGGCCACAGAAUGAAUCCCUUAACUUUAACACCAUUUUACAACUGGACCUGUUUUUUAAACAGUCCCCAAAAUGGGGGAAGUCCCAUAAGCACAGGCCAUUAUAAAACUCUGGUCUGAGGGAUUCCUGUCGUGUGUGUUUAGCCUCUAUUUCUGUGUCUCUCCAAGAAGGUUUAGAUCCAGACCCCUUUCAACACCACUAGCCAUCAGCACACUGAGCCACCUUUUCCGUCUCCCGUUUCUGCCCCUUCACCGUCUUCAGCCCCGCACCCCCACCUUACCCCAUCAAAUCAGAACCCCGGUGCUUUCCCCAGUGGGGCUCCAAUCAGGCUCAAAGGUAGCCCCCACUUUUGCCCCACCAGGCUUUUACCACCUCUGGGAAGAAACUGAUGAGAAUGGAGAAUUACUAAGUGCAGCAUGUCCCCUUCUCACUGCGGGACCUAGAAAUCUGUAAGGAGCGAUUUGGCAGGUUCUCAGAGAAUCCUGAAAAGCUUAGGGACAAAUUUAUCAGGCUGGGAUUAACAUUCUCCCUGACCUGGUAGGAUAUCAUAGUUAUUCUGGCCCACUGCUGUACCCUGAACGACAUGGAGUGUAUACUGAAAAAGGACAAAAAACACACAGAUGGCCUACUGACCACCAAUCCACACCACCAAAUUUGUCAAGUGAGUGGUAACACAAUGCAAGAUCAUGAGCCACACUGGGACUAUGAGGAUCAUGUAGGCCAGGCUAUGAUGAAACAUGUUACUUGUGUAUCAGAAGGAAUGAAAAGGUAUAUGGUGAAACCUGUAAAUCAUGAAGUCCAAGAAGUUACAC